RNAcentral lists this ribosomal RNA (253 nucleotides) under uncultured bacterium. RNAcentral's name for it is "partial 16S ribosomal RNA". It matches the Rfam family "Bacterial small subunit ribosomal RNA", at positions 524 to 776 of the family's 1533-position model. The record is from RNAcentral.
GACAGAGGGUGCAGACGUUGUUCGGAAUUACUGGGCAUAAAGAGCACGUAGGUGGUUCGCUAAGUUACGUGUGAAAUCCCCCGGCUCAACCGGGGAAUUGCGCGUGAUACUGGCGGACUCGAGGCGGGUAGGGGUGAGCGGAACUCCAGGUGGAGCGGUGAAAUGCGUAGAUAUCUGGAGGAACACCGGUGGCGAAAGCGGCUCACUGGACCCGAUCUGACACUGAGGUGCGAAAGCUAGGGUAGCAAACGGG